UACGUAGGGUGCAAGCGUUGUCCGGAAUUAUUGGGCGUAAAGAGCUCAUAGGCGGUUUGUUGCGUCGGCUGUGAAAUCCCGAGGCUCAACCUCGGGUCUGCAGUCGAUACGAGCAAACUAGAGUGUUGCAGGGGAGACUGGAAUUCCUGGUGUAGCGGUGAAAUGCGCAGAUAUCAGGAGGAACACCGGUGGCGAAGGCGGGUCUCUGGGCAACAACUGACGCUGAAGAGCGAAAGCGUGGGGAGCGAACAGG
RNAcentral lists this ribosomal RNA (253 nucleotides) under uncultured bacterium. RNAcentral describes it as "partial 16S ribosomal RNA". It matches the Rfam family "Bacterial small subunit ribosomal RNA", at positions 524 to 776 of the family's 1533-position model. The record is from RNAcentral.